RNAcentral lists this small RNA (1508 nucleotides) under Pan troglodytes (chimpanzee). RNAcentral describes it as "retained intron". The record is from RNAcentral. Lineage: Eukaryota; Metazoa; Chordata; Mammalia; Primates; Hominidae.
GGGAGAUUCCAUUAUAGGGGCUGGAAAACCCCUUUACCAUACCACAUCCCUCAUCAGAAAUGCCUUAGUCAUAAGACCUUUCCUGACUGAUGUAUGUCUGUCCCUCAGGCAUCACCUGGAGCUCUCUUUGUUGGAAGAUCCAUGGAAGAGCAUGGAAUCUGCUGAUCUUGGUUAGGUUCAGGAUGGGAACCUUAAGCCCAGUUUACAGGGGUCAUGGCCUUUCAUUCCUUGGUAGUUUGGGGGGCGAAAGCCAAGCUCAUACCAUGGAAGUUUUUGUCAGGGCAGGAGGAAGAGUGACCAUUUCCUUUUCCUUCUUCCUGCCUUGCCAUCUUCUAGUUGUGGUUCUUGUGGAUGUCUCAGACAAGUGGACACGGAACCAGCUCAGCCCCCAGUUGCUCAGGUGCUUGACCAAGUUCUCCCAGAUCCCUAGUGUCCUGGUCAUGAACAAGGUAGAUUGUCUGAAGCAGAAGUCAGUUCUCCUGGAGCUCACGGCAGCCCUCACUGAAGGUGUGGUCAAUGGCAAAAAGCUCAAGAUGAGGCAGGCCUUCCACUCACACCCUGGCACCCAUUGCCCCAGCCCAGCAGUUAAGGACCCAAACACACAAUCUGUGGGAAAUCCUCAGAGGAUUGGCUGGCCCCACUUCAAGGAGAUCUUCAUGUUGUCAGCCCUAAGCCAGGAGGAUGUGAAAACACUAAAGCAAUACCUUCUGACACAGGCCCAGCCAGGGCCCUGGGAGUACCACAGUGCAGUCCUCACUAGCCAGACACCAGAAGAGAUCUGUGCCAACAUUAUCCGAGAGAAGCUCCUAGAACACCUGCCCCAGGAGGUGCCUUACAAUGUACAGCAGAAGACGGCAGUGUGGGAGGAAGGACCAGGUGGGGAGCUGGUUAUCCAACAGAAGCUUCUGGUGCCCAAAGAAUCUUAUGUGAAACUCCUGAUUGGUCCGAAGGGCCACUUGAUCUCCCAGAUAGCACAGGAGGCAGGCCGUGACCUCAUGGACAUCUUCCUCUGUGAUGUUGACAUCCGCCUCUCUGUGAAGCUCCUCAAGUGACCACCCUCUACUGACCCUCCCAGGGCAUUCCAGCUCCAGCUGCUGGCGGGAACUGACCAGUUCUGUCCUUGGCUGGGGACCCUCCAGGCACUGGUGAGAGACAUGAACACUGACUGGCCGCUAGCUGGCCUGGCCCUGUUGAGUCUGCACAGUCCCUGCCCAGCUGUGUCUUCUGUUGGAAGAAGGAACCUGCCUUAGCUCAGUUUCCAGGUGGUUCCUCUGCCUGGGACCACAGCUACAAAGGUGUAGCUAAGAAGAUGGCCCAUUGGUGGGAGCAAUGUCACCCUGCCUCCAGCUAGCUAUGGGCCCAGAGUUUCUCCCUGAGUCGCUGUUGCUAGCAGGGAGAUUUCUCUUCCUGCCCUCACUUCCUUCACCUUGAACUUGGAUAAGAACUCGUGUCUCCUGAGUGAGGUAGCGCCUCCCAUCUGCUCCCCAAUUCUUGAUCUCUCCCACCCC